UACGUAGGGGGCAAGCGUUGUCCGGAAUCAUUGGGCGUAAAGAGCGUGUAGGCGGUCCGGUAAGUCGGCUGUGAAAGUCCAGGGCUCAACCCUGGGAUGCCGGUCGAUACUGCCGGACUAGAGUUCGGAAGAGGCGAGUGGAAUUCCCGGUGUAGCGGUGAAAUGCGUAGAUAUCGAGAGGAACACCUGAGGUGAAGACGGGUUGCUGGGCCGACACUGACGCUGAGUGCGCGAAAGCCAGGGGAGCAAACGGG
This 254-nucleotide ribosomal RNA is filed under the name uncultured bacterium. Its description in RNAcentral is "partial 16S ribosomal RNA". It matches the Rfam family "Bacterial small subunit ribosomal RNA", at positions 524 to 776 of the family's 1533-position model. The record is from RNAcentral.